Molecule: ribosomal RNA, 253 nt
Filed under: uncultured bacterium
Lineage: Bacteria
Description: partial 16S ribosomal RNA
Rfam family: Bacterial small subunit ribosomal RNA
Source: RNAcentral
UACGAAGGGGGCUAGCGUUGCUCGGAAUCACUGGGCGUAAAGCGCACGUAGGCGGAUUGCUAAGUCAGGGGUGAAAUCCUGGAGCUCAACUCCAGAACUGCCUUUGAUACUGGCGAUCUCGAGUCCGGGAGAGGUGAGUGGAACUGCGAGUGUAGAGGUGAAAUUCGUAGAUAUUCGCAAGAACACCAGUGCCGAAGGCGGCUCACUGGCCCGGUACUGACGCUGAGGUGCGAAAGCGUGGGGAGCAAACAGG